GCUCCCACCUGGAGACUGACACGAUGUGACCGGUAUUGCAACAUCAGUAGUAGGAUCAAGGAGGAUCGAAAUGAACCAAUCGGCAUCAAGCUUGGAAAUCGCACCUGAACGGGAGCCUUGCCUGUAGCCAAUCACCAUCACGCACUGUUCAAAUAGCAAAUACGCGGGCACUUGAACUCAACCGGCAGUUCAAGUUCAACGGUCGAUCUGUUUUGGCGGUCGUCUAGCGUCGGCGGCUGCAAGACGAUUACGCAUCCUAUGCCUUCACCUGCAACAGCACAGUCCAGCGACAAGUAAGGACGUGUCCCUAGUCCAAAAGACUUCAACUACGAAAUUACGCUGUUGUACGGUCUUGGUUGAACGUGGUCUAGCUGUCAGAAACGGCUAGGUACUUUGAUUGUCGCUAACAACUUCAGAUGCUUCACAUUUUCUGUUGGUAUUGUACGUAGGUGAAAACAUCGAUGAAGAGGCCUACCCCACCUCAAAGAUGUCGACAGUUUCUUCCUGUACAAAUAUGUAUGGGGCUGAGAUUGAGGCUUUUGGAGAAGAUUCGAUAAUACAAAUACAGAAAACGAUAAAAUCUUCUGAGUGCUCAACCAAAGGUCGCUCAUGACGGUUACACUGGAAGAAACCGAAGCUGCUGCUAGCGAUUCAUCACCUGGGCAAGAGAAUCAUCAGAAACCAAGUGAAAAAGCAGACUAGCAAACCGCGUAGCCUUCGAUCGCCACGAGGACACUAGUUUUGUAGAUAUCUUCUAAUCACCUAGCUAAGCCUGCAGUGUACCGUACUGUGGUCUAGUAGCUGAAUAGUAAUAAAUGAACGA
Molecule: long non-coding RNA, 823 nt
Organism: Corticium candelabrum
Lineage: Eukaryota; Metazoa; Porifera; Homoscleromorpha; Homosclerophorida; Plakinidae
Exons: 3
Source: RefSeq, a predicted model, not a curated record